GACGGAGGAUGCAAGUGUUAUCCGGAAUCACUGGGCGUAAAGCGUCUGUAGGUGGUCAAAUAAGUCAACUGUUAAAUCUUGAGGCUCAACCUCAAAAUCGCAGUCGAAACUAUUCGACUAGAGUAUAGUAGGGGUAAAGGGAAUUUCCAGUGGAGCGGUGAAAUGCGCAGAUAUCAGGAGGAACACCGGUGGCGAAGGCGGGUCUCUGGGCAAUAACUGACGCUGGAGGAGCGAAAGCGUGGGGAGCGAACAGG
RNAcentral lists this ribosomal RNA (254 nucleotides) under uncultured bacterium. Its description in RNAcentral is "partial 16S ribosomal RNA". It matches the Rfam family "Bacterial small subunit ribosomal RNA", at positions 524 to 776 of the family's 1533-position model. The record is from RNAcentral.